AUUGAACGCUGGCGGCAGGCCUAACACAUGCAAGUCGAACGAGUGGCGGACGGGUGAGUAAUGUCUGGGAAACCGCCCGAUGGAGGGGGAUAACUACUGGAUACGGUAGCUAUUACCGCAUACCAUCGGAUGUGCCCCGAUGGGAUUGGCUAGUUGGUGGGGUAAAGGCUCACCUGGGCGACGCUCCCUAGCUGGUCUGAGAGGAUGACCAGCCACACUGGAACUGAGACACGGUCCAGACUCCUACGGGAGGCAGCAGUGGGGAAUAUUGCACAAUGGGGGCAAACCUGAUGCAGCCAUGCCGCGUGUGUGAAGAAGGCCUUCGGGUUGUAAAGGACUUUCAGCGGGGAGGCGUUACCCGCAGAAGAAGCACCGGCUAACUCCGUGCCAGCAGCCGCGGUAAUAC
RNAcentral lists this ribosomal RNA (406 nucleotides) under uncultured bacterium. RNAcentral's name for it is "partial 16S ribosomal RNA". It matches the Rfam family "Bacterial small subunit ribosomal RNA", at positions 30 to 526 of the family's 1533-position model. The record is from RNAcentral.